This 381-nucleotide unclassified non-coding RNA is filed under the name uncultured bacterium. RNAcentral's name for it is "contains 16S-23S intergenic spacer region". The record is from RNAcentral.
UCCGGUUUGGCACCGGCAGUCCCCCGAGAGUCCUCAGCAGUUUGCACCCUGUUAGCAACACGGGGCGGGGGUCGCGCUCGUUGCGGGACUUAACCCAACAUCUCACGACACGAGCUGACGACAGCCAUGCAGCACCUGUGCUAGCCCCUUACGGACACGCGCUUCCACGCGCUUUAACUAGCAUGUCAAGCCUAGGUAAGGUUCUUCGCGUUGCAUCGAAUUAAGCCACAUGCUCCGCCGCUUGUGCGGGUCCCCGUCAAUUCCUUUGAAUUUCAGCCUUGCGGCCGUACUCCCCAGGCGGGGCACUUAAUGCGUUAGCGCCGGCACCCAGGGGGUCGCUCCCCCAGGCACCUAGUGCCCAUCGUUUACGGCGUGGACUAC